Molecule: ribosomal RNA, 252 nt
Filed under: Salmonella enterica subsp. enterica serovar Heidelberg
Lineage: Bacteria; Pseudomonadati; Pseudomonadota; Gammaproteobacteria; Enterobacterales; Enterobacteriaceae
Also listed under: 1 other name
Description: partial 23S ribosomal RNA
Rfam family: Bacterial large subunit ribosomal RNA
Source: RNAcentral
CCCAGACAGCCAGGAUGUUGGCUUAGAAGCAGCCAUCAUUUAAAGAAAGCGUAAUAGCUCACUGGUCGAGUCGGCCUGCGCGGAAGAUGUAACGGGGCUAAACCAUGCACCGAAGCUGCGGCAGCGAACGUAUCACCCAAGACAACUUUACGGAGUUGACGAUUGACGGAGCGAAGCGACGUCAAAGCGUUCAUUAAAGUCGAGUUGGCUUAGGGAUACGUUCGUUGGGUAGGGGAGCGUUCUGUAAGCCUG